RNAcentral lists this ribosomal RNA (497 nucleotides) under uncultured bacterium. RNAcentral's name for it is "partial 16S ribosomal RNA". It matches the Rfam family "Bacterial small subunit ribosomal RNA", at positions 28 to 507 of the family's 1533-position model. The record is from RNAcentral.
GAUGAACGCUGGCGGCGUGCCUAAUACAUGCAAGUCGAGCGAACGGACGAGAAGCUUGCUUCUCUGAUGUUAGCGGCGGACGGGUGAGUAACACGUGGAUAACCUACCUAUAAGACUGGGAUAACUUCGGGAAACCGGAGCUAAUACCGGAUAAUAUUUUGAACCGCAUGGUUCAAAAGUGAAAGACGGUCUUGCUGUCACUUAUAGAUGGAUCCGCGCUGCAUUAGCUAGUUGGUAAGGUAACGGCUUACCAAGGCAACGAUGCAUAGCCGACCUGAGAGGGUGACCGGCCACACUGGAACUGAGACACGGUCCCGACUCCUACGGGAGGCAGCAGUAGGGAAUCUUCCGCAAUGGGCGAAAGCCUGACGGAGCAACGCCGCGUGAGUGAUGAAGGUCUUCGGAUCGUAAAACUCUGUUAUUAGGGAAGAACAUAUGUGUAAGUAACUGUGCACAUCUUGACGGUACCUAAUCAGAAAGCCACGGCUAACUACGUG